CCAAGCUGAGCAUUUCCCAUGAAAUUGUAGUAAACCAAGAUUUCUAUGUGGAAGAGACCAUUUUACCUCCAAGCAGCGUAGAAGGCAGGUUUGCAGAGGCAAUGUACAAUGCUUUUUGGAACCAUCUGAAAGAACAGCUAUUGAGUACUCCUCCUGACUUCACUUGUGCUCUUGAACUUCUAAAAGAUGUUAAGGAGACCUUGCUAUCACUGCUAUUACCAUGGCAGAACCGCCUAAGAAAUGAGAUAGAAGAAGCUCUGGACACAGAUCUCCUCAAGCAGGAAGCAGAACAUGGGGCCCUGGAUGUCCCUCAUCUUUCUAACUACAUUCUCAAUUUGAUGGCUCUGCUAUGUGCACCAGUUCGAGAUGAAGCGAUACAGAAACUAGAGACCAUAACAGAUCCAGUGCAGUUACUGAGGGGCAUCUUCCGUGUUCUGGGCCUAAUGAAAAUGGACAUGGUGAACUCUACCAUCCAGAGCUUUCGACCCUACCUGCAGGAGCAUUCCAUCCAGUAUGAACAAACUAAAUUCCAGGAACUCCUUGAUAAACAGCCCAUUCUCCUCGAUUAUACCACAAAAUUGCUAACCAAAGCAGCCACAGACAUCACUACACUAUGUCCGAGUUCUCCUGACUCACCUAGCUCCUCCUGCAGCAUGGCGUGUUCACUUCCAAACGGGGCAGGUAACAACUCAGAGCCCCCCAGUCCAACAAUGGUGCUAUACCAAGGCUACCUGAACCUCCUCCUCUGGGAUCCUGAAAACGAAGAAUUCCCGGAGACUCUGCUGAUGGAUGGCAUCCGGCUCCAGGAACUGGCGUUCCAGUUGCACCAGUUAACUGUCCUGGCCUCAGUCUUGCUAGUGGCCAGAAGCUUCUCUGGUGAAGUUUUAUUCAGCUCACCUGAAUUUGUGGAUAGACUGAAAUGCAUCACCAAGGCCCUAACUGAGGAAUUUAUCUCCAGGUCUGGAGACUGACAAGUCCAAGAUAAAGAUGCUGGCUGAUUUGCUGUCUGGUGAGGGCCCUCUUCCUCAUCGAUGUGACCGAGUCUCCCUGGAUCACUCAGUCUGGAGUGCAGCGUUGUGAUCAUAGCUCACUGUAGCCUUGAGCUCUUGGGCUCAAGCAAU
This is an RNA transcript of Nomascus leucogenys (northern white-cheeked gibbon), 1121 nucleotides long. It is a transcript of the gene named T-complex protein 11 X-linked protein 2, with no coding region annotated. The record is from RefSeq and is a predicted model, not a curated record. The transcript has 8 exons. Lineage: Eukaryota; Metazoa; Chordata; Mammalia; Primates; Hylobatidae.